This 28-nucleotide non-coding RNA is filed under the name Mus musculus (house mouse). The record is from RNAcentral. Lineage: Eukaryota; Metazoa; Chordata; Mammalia; Rodentia; Muridae.
UAAGGUUGUCUUUUCUCUCAGGAUAGGG